AUGAGCUACGGCUUGGGUGGCGCGGGUGGGGAGGAGCUCGGCACUGGGGAGGCUGACUGGAGUGGCGGCUACGGCAUGGAGCACAGCCAGCAGCGGGACGAGGGGCCGGGCUCUGGGCGGCCUAGCUGGGCUGGCGGGUAUGGCACCAGCAACACGCAGGGGAAGGAUGGGGAGCUCAGCCCAGACUGGGCCAGUAAAUACAGCAGCAGGGAUGGUGAGGCCAAGGAAAAGGAUUUUACGCUGGGCUGGGCUGGCAGAUCCAGCACCGGGGACACUGGGAGCCCAGAGAAGGAGUUCAGCCCCAGCAGAGUGGCCUGGGACAGCAGCUACAGCCCCAGGGACAUGGAGAGCCAGGACCGGGAGUUCAGCCCCAGCAGACCAGCCUGGGACGAUGGGUUCAGCGCUAGGGACGAGCCCCAUGACGGGGAGUUCAGCCCCAGCAGACCAGUUUGGACUGGAGAGUACAGCGCCCGCGACAUGGAGAGCCAGGACCGGGAGUUCAGCCCCAGCAGACCCGCCUGGGCUAGCGACUACCACAGCAGGGCCAUGGAGAGCCAGGACCGGGAGUUCAGCCCCAGCAGAGCGGCUGAGGCUGGCGAGUACGGCACCGGGGAUGGGGAGAGCCGGGACGGGGAGUUCGGCCCUAGCAGAGCGGCCUGGGAUGAUGGAUAUGGCACCAGGGACAGGGAGACUCAGGAGCAGGAGUUCAGCCCCGGCAGAGCAGCCUGGGCCGGCGAGUACAGCUCUACGAAUGCCCACGAGGAGGACAGAGAGUUUAGUCCUGCCCGGCUGAGCUGGGCUGGGGAGCAUGGCCUUGGCCAAACUGAGCUGGCCGAUGCCUUUGGCAUCAGGGAAGACAACCCGCCUGGCCCCCACAGCCCUGACACCCCAGCGCAGGAGCCAGGCUGGGGCAGCACCGACCGGCGGGAGCACGGCGCCACCGAGAGCAGGGACUGGGCUGGGGAGCUCGGAGGAGCCCAGUGCCACAGCCAGUUUGGCACCAUCGGGACGGAACGGGCGCCGGAUCCCUGCAGCACCAUGGCGGUGGCCAACGGCUCCGCGGCCUGGGCCAGCGCGAGGAGGCCGCUGCAGGACUGGCCUGGCGAUCUUUCCUUUGGCAGCCCGGAGGCCACCGGCUGGGGCCCAGGCCUGGGCAACCUUCCUGCUGCAGGCCAUCUGGGCCAGGCACCAGAGGCCGGACUGGGCGAGCCAGGCUGGAGCGCAGAGCUGCGCGACGCCGAGGCCAAGCGCCAGGAGUGGGCCAGUGCAUUUGGCGCCCGCUGUGCGGCCCGCAGCCGAGACUGUGGCGACGGCGAGCGGAGCCCAGAAGGCGACGGCGGCUCGGCCAAUGGGUAA
This 1356-nucleotide long non-coding RNA is filed under the name Athene cunicularia (burrowing owl). RNAcentral describes it as "lncRNA (ENSACUG00000004194.1)". The record is from RNAcentral. Lineage: Eukaryota; Metazoa; Chordata; Aves; Strigiformes; Strigidae.